RNAcentral lists this ribosomal RNA (253 nucleotides) under uncultured bacterium. Its description in RNAcentral is "partial 16S ribosomal RNA". It matches the Rfam family "Bacterial small subunit ribosomal RNA", at positions 524 to 776 of the family's 1533-position model. The record is from RNAcentral.
GACGGGGGGUCCUAGCGUUGUUCGGAAUCAUUGGGCGUAAAGCGUGCGCAGGCGGUUCGUCGUGUCCGAUGUGAAAGCCCCGGGCUCAACCUGGGAAUGGCAUUGGAAACUGGCGGGCUUGAGUGUGGCAGAGGGGGGUGGAAUUCCGCGUGUAGCAGUGAAAUGCGUAGAGAUGCGGAGGAACACCGAUGGCGAAGGCAGCCCCCUGGGCUAACACUGACGCUCAGGCACGAAAGCGUGGGGAGCAAACAGG